RNAcentral lists this ribosomal RNA (305 nucleotides) under uncultured bacterium. RNAcentral's name for it is "partial 16S ribosomal RNA". It matches the Rfam family "Bacterial small subunit ribosomal RNA", at positions 508 to 808 of the family's 1533-position model. The record is from RNAcentral.
ACAGCAGCCGCCGCGGUAAGACGAACCGUGCAAACGUUACUCGGAAUCACUGGGCUUAAAGCGCACGUAGGCGGCGACAUAAGUUAGAGGUGAAAUCCCAUCGGCUCAACCGUGGAACUGCCUCUAAUACUGUGUUGCUUGAGGGAGGACGGGGCAUCCGGAACUUCCGGUGGAGCGGUGAAAUGUGUUGAUAUCGGAAGGAACGCCGGUGGCGAAAGCGGAAUGCUGGGUCUCUUCUGACGCUGAGGUGCGAAAGCUAGGGUAGCGAACGGGAUUAGAUACCCGGGUAGUCCCUGUCUCUUAUA